AAAGAUUUAGUUAAAAUAAUAUUAAUUUGUCAAAUUAAAGUUAGACUAAAAAGAUCUAAUCUUUA
This 65-nucleotide transfer RNA is filed under the name Bemisia tabaci. RNAcentral describes it as "tRNA-Asp". The record is from RNAcentral. Lineage: Eukaryota; Metazoa; Arthropoda; Insecta; Hemiptera; Aleyrodidae.